AGUCGAACGGUGAACACGGAGCUUGCUCUGUGGGAUCAGUGGCGAACGGGUGAGUAACACGUGAGCAACCUGCCCCUGACUCUGGGAUAAGCGCUGGAAACGGCGUCUAAUACUGGAUAUGUGACGUGAUCGCAUGGUCUGCGUCUGGAAAGAAUUUCGGUUGGGGAUCGGCUCGCGGCCUAUCAGCUUGUUGGUGAGGUAAUGGCUCAUCAAGGCGUCGACGGGUAGCCGGCCUGAGAGGGUGACCGGCCACACUGGGACUGAGACACGGCCCAGACUCCUACGGGAGGCAGCAGUGGGGAAUAUUGCACAAUGGGCGCAAGCCUGAUGCAGCAACGCCGCGUGAGGGAUGACGGCCUUCGGGUUGUAAACCUCUUUUAGCAGGGAAGAAGCGAAAGUGACGGUACCUGCAGAAAAAGCGCCGGCUAUCUACGUGCCAGCAGCCGCGGUAAUACGUAGGGCGCAAGCGUUAUCCGGAAUUAUUGGGCGUAAAGAGCUCGUAGGCGGUUUGUCGCGUCUGCUGUGAAAUCCGGAGGCUCAACCUCCGGCCUGCAGUGGGUACGGGCAGACUAGAGUGCGGUAGGGGAGAUUGGAAUUCCUGGUGUAGCGGUGGAAUGCGCAGAUAUCAGGAGGAACACCG
This 640-nucleotide ribosomal RNA is filed under the name Microbacterium sp. RNAcentral's name for it is "bacterial SSU rRNA". It matches the Rfam family "Bacterial small subunit ribosomal RNA", at positions 60 to 711 of the family's 1533-position model. The record is from RNAcentral. Lineage: Bacteria; Bacillati; Actinomycetota; Actinomycetes; Micrococcales; Microbacteriaceae.